CUGGCAUGCUUGUCGCCCAGGCGCUUCACCAGCGUGGCCAGCAUCUUGCGUUGGUUCUUCACUGCGUCCUCCAGGAACUGAUACUGGUGGUCCUUGUGUGCGUUGAGCUGGCAGUCACGGCAGGUGAGCGUGUCACACGUGUCACAGAAGAUCAUCAGCGGCUCCUGCUUGUGCACGGAGCAGUACACAGUGUGAUCCACCUCCUUCACGCUGGUGUUGGCUGCAGCCCGCACUGUGUGGUCCUUGGUGUACUUGACCCGCUGGUGGGCCUCCACACAGGUGUCACACAGUGGCUCUGAGCACUCCACGCAGAAGCUGGUAGCAGGAGCGUUGUCUUCACAGCUGGUGCAGCACUGAGUGGAGGCCAGGUUGUCACCAGCCAUCUUAGCUCCUUUGUCUUUGAGGAAGUAAUUCUCUACCACGUCCUGCAGCGGACACUGGUGCUUGCAGAUGGGGCAGUCCACCACUUGCCCGCCAGGCCCUGAGUCGGCUGUAGGCCCCGGGCUGGUCCGCAGGCACUGCCGACACACCGAAUGCAGGCAAGGCAACAACCGCGGUUCCCUCUCGGCCUGCAGCAGCACCCGGCAGCUCCCGCAGCGUUCCAGGAGAUCCACGAGGUCCGGGCGCUUCUCGGCCGGGCCCACCGCUUCCGCGGCCUCCUCCGCCGGAGCCGACAUGGCGGCCGCUGCUCCCCCUCAGC
Molecule: long non-coding RNA, 700 nt
Filed under: Gallus gallus (chicken)
Lineage: Eukaryota; Metazoa; Chordata; Aves; Galliformes; Phasianidae
Source: RNAcentral